GUGGGGAAUCUUAGACAAUGGGGGAAACCCUGAUCUAGCCAUGCCGCGUGAGCGAUGAAGGCCUUAGGGUUGUAAAGCUCUUUCAGAUGGGAAGAUAAUGACGGUACCAUCAGAAGAAGCCCCGGCUAACUCCGUGCCAGCAGCCGCGGUAAUACGGAGGGGGCUAGCGUUGUUCGGAAUUACUGGGCGUAAAGCGCACGUAGGCGGACCAGAAAGUCAGAGGUGAAAUCCCAGGGCUCAACCUUGGAACUGCCUUUGAAACUCCUGGUCUUGAGGUCGAGAGAGGUGAGUGGAAUUCCGAGUGUAGAGGUGAAAUUCGUAGAUAUUAGGAAGAACACCAGUGGCGAAGGCGGCUCACUGGCUCGAUACUGACGCUGAGGUGCGAAAGCGUGGGGAGCAAACAGGAUUAGAUACCCGGGUAGUCC
Molecule: ribosomal RNA, 425 nt
Filed under: uncultured bacterium
Lineage: Bacteria
Description: partial 16S ribosomal RNA
Rfam family: Bacterial small subunit ribosomal RNA
Source: RNAcentral